Arabidopsis thaliana (thale cress) is the source of this 191-nucleotide non-coding RNA. NCBI's taxonomy places the organism in Eukaryota, Viridiplantae, Streptophyta, Magnoliopsida, Brassicales, Brassicaceae. The record is from RefSeq.
GAAUGAGAAUGAUGAUGCAUCUUAUGUAACGAUCGGGAAUGAGAGAGAACACUGCAAAUUAGAGAUCCAAAUUCAAUGGAUGGAGAGUAAUCGAUUCAGCUUGGAUCGUAAUUGGUAAGAGCAUUGAUAAGGGGUUAAUUUGCAGUGUUCUCUCUCAUUCCCGAUCGUUUGUGCGUUAUCAUGAUUUAUUU